This 497-nucleotide ribosomal RNA is filed under the name uncultured bacterium. RNAcentral describes it as "partial 16S ribosomal RNA". It matches the Rfam family "Bacterial small subunit ribosomal RNA", at positions 28 to 507 of the family's 1533-position model. The record is from RNAcentral.
GAUGAACGCUGGCGGCGUGCCUAAUACAUGCAAGUCGAGCGAACAGACGAGGAGCUUGCUCCUUUGACGUUAGCGGCGGACGGGUGAGUAACACGUGGGUAACCUACCUAUAAGACUGGGAUAACUUCGGGAAACCGGAGCUAAUACCGGAUAAUAUUUCGAACCGCACGGUUCGAUAGUGAAAGAUGGCUUUGCUAUCACUUAUAGAUGGACCUGCGCCGUAUUAGCUAGUUGGUAAGGUAACGGCUUACCAAGGCAACGAUACGUAGCCGACCUGAGAGGGUGAUCGGCCACACUGGAACUGAGACACGGUCCAGACUCCUACGGGAGGCAGCAGUAGGGAAUCUUCCGCAAUGGGCGAAAGCCUGACGGAGCAACGCCGCGUGAGUGAUGAAGGUCUUCGGAUCGUAAAACUCUGUUAUUAGGGAAGAACAAACGUGUAAGUAACUGUGCACGUCUUGACGGUACCUAAUCAGAAAGCCACGGCUAACUACGUG